GUCCACGCUGUAAACGAUGCUAACUCGUUUUGGGCUUUAGGGUUCAGAGACCAAGCGAAAGUGAUAAGUUAGCCACCUGGGGAGUACGCUCGCAAGAGUGAAACUCAAAGGAAUUGACGGGGCCCGCACAAGCGGUGGAUUAUGUGGUUUAAUUCGAUGAUACGCGAGGAACCUUACCAAGACUUAAAUGGGAAUUGACAGCUUUAGAAAUAGAGCUUUCUUCGGACAAAUUUUCAAAGGUGCUGCAUGGUUGUCGU
Molecule: ribosomal RNA, 257 nt
Filed under: uncultured bacterium
Lineage: Bacteria
Description: partial 16S ribosomal RNA
Rfam family: Bacterial small subunit ribosomal RNA
Source: RNAcentral